Long non-coding RNA from Salvator merianae (Argentine black and white tegu), 1352 nucleotides. NCBI's taxonomy places the organism in Eukaryota, Metazoa, Chordata, Lepidosauria, Squamata, Teiidae. The record is from Ensembl.
CUGACGCAGAACCUCUAGCCACUGAUGUCUCUAGGAGUGGUCACCCGAAUGCAAAAUAUGCCGGAGUAUUUGCAAAAGCAACAGCUGCAAUCCGUUCAGUGGACCAGAUGCCGGAGGCAUCCAGAAGAAGAACUGCACAACUAGCAGUGUCUGAGUCAACAGGGCUUAGCUGGAAGAGACUCCCAACCAUCUGGCAAAGUUGUCCAAGAGUGCAGCAGUCAUAAAUGAGUUCCCCCACCCUGUCAUCAUCUCCNUGGAGAAAGUUAUCUAGUAGAGAGCCUGUGCCUAGAUUCAUCACUGCACACAAAGAUGUCAUCAAAGAACAAAGUACAACAAUAGACUUAUUGGAGUUUUGCCUGUCUUCAUGUGCAGACUGGAAAUCUUGACGAACGUGAGGUCUGGGUAGAUAUGUGCUCUACCCCAUCUGACCUCCAGGAGCAGGAAAGGCACNGCAGUGUAUCUGAGUACCUCCUGAAAUCUUCAAAAUGCCCUCUGCAUGCCACUAUUAGCACUCAUUGUGUUGUGUAAAUCUGCUGUAAAAUCAUAGGCUCUUUUCACGAUUCUAGUUAUCCACAGGUUUGCUACUGGAAUAAGGUGCCAAAAAGACUCUAUAUAUUGAAGGAAGAACAAUUCCAAGGGAAUUAUAGAGACUGCUGAAGACCAUUCUGUCUUUGAAAANUACAUANGAANAUAAGAGGAGCCUUGCUGGAUCAGGCCACGGCCCAUCUAGUCCAGCAUCCUGUUUCACACAUUGGCCCACUAAUUGCUUCUGGGCAUUCUCAAGCAAAAGACAAAGGCCAAAAUCUUCACCUGCUCUUGACUCCCCGCAAAUGGUUUUACAGACAUCCUGCCUGUCUUUCCUACCUGGAGGCAAAAAAAUGUAAAGAAGCCCUCACUUAUGCCAUCCCUUCCAGCUCCCCUGGAGGUCCCUCAGCCUGCCAAAGGUCCUCUGGGUGUGUGGGACUUCAGACUCAUGCCUAUUAGUUUUGUCCUAGAUGCAGUACUGAGUUCCACAAUUGACUAAUUUAUAAAGGUUGAGUUGGGAGAUUGUUGCAAUGCUUCAUCGUGAAACUCUCCUUAUGUAUGUGAACUUUUGUAAUGGAGCGAUUCCUCUAGGAUUGUUGUUAUAUUAUAAGCUGCCUUGAGAGUUUUAUUGAGAGUGUGUGUAAAUGGAUGUAGAACAUGCUUUUAAAUAGGGCACACUUAAGGGGCUCUGAUUAAUUCUUGAGAUUGGAACCAUCUUGGAGCNUGCCAUUGUUGUGGUAUGAUUUGUGGUAAUCAGCAUACCUCUGAUUCACUUCAGUACAUGGAGCAUAGUGUCAGAGUCCACAGGUUUUGGGGGAAGUGCCUGC